Molecule: ribosomal RNA, 253 nt
Filed under: uncultured bacterium
Lineage: Bacteria
Description: partial 16S ribosomal RNA
Rfam family: Bacterial small subunit ribosomal RNA
Source: RNAcentral
UACGAAGGGGGCUAGCGUUGUUCGGAAUUACUGGGCGUAAAGGGCGCGUAGGCGGUGUGUCAAGUCAGGCGUGAAAGCCCCGGGCUCAACCUGGGAACCGCGCUGGAGACUGGCACGCUAGAGUUCGGGAGAGGAUGGUGGAAUUCCCAGUGUAGAGGUGAAAUUCGUAGAUAUUGGGAAGAACACCGAUGGCGAAGGCAGCCAUCUGGACCGACACUGACGCUGAGGCGCGAAAGCGUGGGGAGCAAACAGG